This is a long non-coding RNA of Numida meleagris (helmeted guineafowl), 609 nucleotides long. Ensembl annotates it as translation initiation factor IF-2-like. The record is from Ensembl. Lineage: Eukaryota; Metazoa; Chordata; Aves; Galliformes; Numididae.
AUGUCCCUGUGUGUCCCCACGUGUCCCCAUCAAGCGGGGGUGUCCCCAUCUGCCCCCGUGGCGAUGUCCCCAUGAUGUGGGGGUGUCCCCACGUCCCCACGUGUCCCCAUAAGGUGGGGGUGUCCCCAUGAUGUGGGGCUGCCCCCCAUGUCCCCACGUCCCCACAUGUCCCCGUGUGUCCCCACGUCCCUGCGCCCCACACCCACGCUCAGCCCCGCCGCGUCCCUGCGUCCCCACGCCACCGCGUGUCCCUCUGUCCCCGUGCCCCCAGGUGGGGCAGGCCGUGGGGCAGGCCGUGGGGCAGGCCGUGGGGCAGCGCGGUGCCCGGCUGGCCGUGGGGCAGCGGCUGGCGGCGGUGGCCCGCAGCAACGCGGUGACAUUGGGGCGGCUGCGGGACGAGGUGACGGCGCUGGAGCUGGAGCUGCAGCACAGGAGACACCGAGGGGGGGGACAGCGGGCACGGGCGCAGCGGCGCGCGGCGGAGCUGGGGCGGAGGUUGGAGCAGAGGGAGAGGGACAGGGACAGCGCCCGGCGGGAGGUGGCCGAGGUGACACGGGAGCUGGGCACCGCCAGCGCUGGGCUGCGGCACGUGGCCCACCAGCUGCGGCA